UGACGGUACUCAGACCGGUUUCGUCUACCCACCUCACUCUUUUUACAAGAGGUGGUCAGGCAGACUCGUCAGUGAGUGAAGUCAGUGAGGGAAACACUGGAGAAGGUUAUCACCCUUCAAAUCCAGGCACAUUAACUCAC
This 140-nucleotide ribozyme is filed under the name unclassified sequences. RNAcentral's name for it is "Hairpin ribozyme 1 from viruses-like metatranscriptomes". It matches the Rfam family "Hairpin ribozyme 1 from viruses-like metatranscriptomes". The record is from Rfam by way of RNAcentral.